AGCUCUAGUUCGACCCUGGGAACGAGGCUAUGUGCCGAUUGCUUUGGCAUGUAGUGGAUCACUGGCUAUUUUGUCCCCGUGCCGUUUGAGAAGCCUCGCUUGUUGUUGGAGUCAAGUGAGCCCAGUUUUAAUAUUAAACAGGGACCUACAAUUAAGUUAUGCGUGACUUACAACUGACCUUUCAUGGCAUCCCAUAUUGUAAACACAACUGUCAUCUGGAUGGAGUCAAGAACCCUCACUGAGCUUUUUAACAGUGGCUCCCUGCCUGUGUUCCAAGCAUACACAAGACACAUCUUACAUUCAGACAAAAUGCUUUCUUCACCCAAUGUCUUCUGUGAAAAGCAGUCCUUCCGAUGCUCAAAACCUGUUUUCUUUGUUGCUGCAAGCCUUCACUGUCCUCGUGGUUGGUCUCUAUGAUGGGGAGCAAGUGUGCUGAUCUUUUAUUUUUUAUGAAGUCUUCACCUCUGCAGAAGCAAUCUGCUACCAAAGUCUUUCUCUCACUUAACAGGUAAAAGUUCAUACACUGAUCGUGCACACAACGAAGGAAAAUUUCUUAGGCUCAGAAAUUCCUUCUAACAUUCAUUGUAUAGAUGUAUAUGAUGAAGGUUUUUGCAUAUUUGGCCUCCUUGAAUACUGAAUGUGAGUAGCGCACCACCAACAUUUUCAUGAAGCCCUACGCAGUCUUUGAAAUUACAGUUACGGUUUUCCGUGGAGGACAACAGCAGGCAGGGUCCUCGAUCAUAGUAACGCAUUUUCUAUGCCAUAGCUGCUGACACUGUCACACACAGUAUACUUUUCUCCAUCUACUGCGCUUGUCUGUGAUUUGCAUGCCAGGCAAGGAGUGCAUGAGAGUCUAAUGUGAAUUAUUCAUACUGUGCGGCACAAAAAACUACAGACUUUUUUUUAGCAGGCUAGCAUAUGUCACCCAUUUAGGUGUGUCAUCAUAUCCUCUCUGUGACACAGUAGGACACGUGUAGCUCAUUGCUCUGUGGUCAUACAUUUCACUGAGCCUAAGACAAAAACAUUCAAUCACAGUAUCAUACAACCAGACCUUACAAAACAGUUCCAAAAUUCGUUUCGGGACUCUUCCUUUUUUAUUUUUCAGAAAUUUCUGUAUAUAGGGACUUCGACUCAAAUGUUAGUGUCAUUUUUGGAAAAUGUAGAAUAGCAUAUCCUUUGGAUUUGUUGUGUAGUCCACAUGUUGAUACUAAAGGAUAUGUUGAUAUGUGUCUUGCCUUCUUUCUCCCAUUGCCAAUCCUGUAUCAGUUAAGUUCCUGCUUUCUUUUGUUUGUUCUUUGAGACCACUGCUAUACUCAAGGCACUCAGUAGGAUUAUCGCUGUGUUUCACAUUCAUGGUAACAUGCUUGCUUUUCCUAAUGUUAGCAGUUAGGAGACCACCUACUGGAUGUAUCUGCAUCAUUAUAUUAAGUGUGCCUGAUCAUCGUCACUGAGGAGUCAUGCCAAGUAGGCAUAAUGCUUUUGCCUUGACCCUUUUGCAAGAGCCUGUCAUCAAUCUGCUGCAUAGCUUCCUCAGACGGUCAAUAUGAGUAUCCAGAAAUAAUUAAUUCCAAAAGCCUGAUAUGUAAAUGUGUUUCCAGGCGAUCUGAACACAAGCACCACUUCACUAGAGUUCUGAUGUUCUGAGGCUGGAACAACAUAGAAGGGACAAUCACAUACAAGGCUUCAGGUUGCCUAAGAAAUUAACCAUGAAAGAUGGAAGUCACUGAAAAGGUUAGCCAGCUGUAGGACUCGAACCCACAUCUUCUGGAUUACCGAUUACCAAUCCAGAAGAUGUGGGUUCGAGUCCUACAGCCUGCUAACGUUUUCAGUGACUUCCAUCUUUCAUGCAGCAUUUUUACCACUUUCCCUUGUUGCUUUUUUGCAUCCUCCUCCUUUUCCAGCAUCAGAUGUCCAUAUUCUCUGUUACGAAGGAGAGGUGUUUUUUGUAAAAGCUUACCACAGUGUACCGAGGUACUGAACCUUACAAGUGUUCUAGGCCCAUAAUGGCGUGUGCCAUUCUUUAUAUGUGAAAACCUCAGCUCAGCCAACAAAGUCAUCCUAAGGGAGGCCGGAAUAUAUGCAAAGCAACACAAUUUUGCAUUUGUAUGAGUUUGCUACGCCCCAUAUUUCUGAGACAGAGUGAACGAGAUAAGGUGCAUCGUAUCAUGCACAGACGUGACCUCUCACUGCUGUAGGUCGGCCCACUCUGAUGUUCAUGUUCAUGUUCUGCAUCAUUAUAUGCCUUGUCAAAAAUCAGGUUCCUUCCUGUUCCAAUGAUGUUGAAAGUCUACUACACCUUAGUUCACUCGCACCUUAAUUGUGCAGCUGAAGUGUACGGUCUUUGUUACUGAUUCCAAAGCUAGUACUACGAACAAUACUUAGAAUUCCAGCAGCUAAUUCCAUCAUUUUUCCUUUCUCGUUCCUAUUAGUUACAAAAUACAAAGUUUAAUCUGCACUGCUGACAUGCCGCAUAUUGUAACCGUCACUAAUAUUGUUUUCCCAUAUCUGCUACGACGGGAUUUCUCUACUUCCGUCUAUCCCCACCACACGCAAGAUAUGGAACACACUCACUGUAUUACACUGACCCAGACUUAUGGAAUAGAUUGCCAUUUCAUAUACACCAGAUCAAUAACUAUUUUCUGUUCAAGAGGAAAGUUACAGUGUAUUUCCUUGCGUGCAUGUACAACCCUGUUGUAUGAUUGUCUUUGAGUUCACCGAUUACUUUUUGCAUUUUUUGCUUGGUUUGAACUGUGCGUACCAAAGAUAAGCUAAAUUUUGUAAUAUUACAGCAUGUAUCGGUCGAUAAUAGUAGUCUUGAUCUUUCUCUUGUUUUAUAUCCAGGAGUGUUUUAAUUUACUUGAGAUGCCAAAUGUUGCCUCACAAGAUUAUAUUUGCUACCUAUACAUGAUGUGUUGUUACCUAUGGGAGUGCGUAACAGGCUUGUCCUAGCAGUCCCAUAGGUAACAACACAUAAUGUACAGGCAGACAAAUAAACUAUCAAUAUCUAUCUAUCUUUUGGAGACCUCACACUCAUUUCCCUUUGAGUCUCUGACUCUUUUGGCUCCAGUGCUUCAGCUUUUGGCUUAGCCUGGCUCCACUUAUGUUUAUGAUUACUUUUGAAUGCCACCUGCUUUUCCAUCUUUUUUUGCAGCCAGAAGCGAACGACUCUCUUCACAUUGUGUAUCUCAUUCCGAGCCCUUCCCAUUACCAACGCCUUCAACUCUGCUAGCAGGGUAUCUAUGGUCACAGCAAUCUUUUACCCCCAAUAUCUCAAACGACUGCUAUGCCCAUGUACAAUCCAACUUUUCUAAUUUGUCCCUUACACUCAACCGCCACUCAGAAGAAAGGUGGAUGGAGGAUGGGAGAUGGUGCAUUUGUAAAUUGCUGUAAAUAAACAAGUGAUUGAAACGUA
This is a long non-coding RNA of Ornithodoros turicata, 3412 nucleotides long. RefSeq lists it as uncharacterized. The record is from RefSeq and is a predicted model, not a curated record. The transcript is spliced from 4 exons. Lineage: Eukaryota; Metazoa; Arthropoda; Arachnida; Ixodida; Argasidae.